This 794-nucleotide ribosomal RNA is filed under the name Bolbophorus sp. OCPKBG-2002. Its description in RNAcentral is "SSU rRNA". It matches the Rfam family "Eukaryotic small subunit ribosomal RNA", at positions 333 to 1051 of the family's 1831-position model. The record is from RNAcentral. Lineage: Eukaryota; Metazoa; Platyhelminthes; Trematoda; Strigeidida; Bolbophoridae.
UGAUCUGCCUACCAUGGUGAUAACGGGUAACGGGGAAUCAGGGUUCGAUUCCGGAGAGGGAGCCUGAGAAACGGCUACCACAUCCAAGGAAGGCAGCAGGCGCGAAAAUUACCCACUCCCGGCACGGGAGGUAGUGACGAAAAAUACGAAUACGGGACUCACUCGAGGCUCCGUAAUUCGAAUGAGUACAAUCUAAAUCCUUUAACGAGGACCAAUUGGAGGGCAAGUCUGGUGCCAGCAGCCGCGGUAACUCCAGCUCCAAAAGCGUAUAUUAAAGUUGCUGCAGUUAAAAAGCUCGUAGUUGGAUCUGGGUCGUGCGUUCACAUGUCGUUGCUUGGUUCUGAUUUCGGUUAGUUCCAGGUGAUGGCGAGGUGGUCGCGCAGCCUUUCAGCCGUGUCUGCGUGAGCAGGUGCUGGUUGGCCGGUGGGUUUACUUGCUGGUUAGUCGGCAUGUUUCCUGAUGCCUUUAAACGGGUGUCGGGGGCGUACGGCACUUUUACUUUGAACAAAUUUGAGUGCUCAAAGCAGGCCCAUGUGCCUGAAAAGUCUUGCAUGGAAUAAUGGAAUAGGACUUCGGUUCUAUUUUGUUGGUUUCCGGAUCCGAAGUAAUGGUUAAGAGGAACAGACGGGGGCAUUUGUAUGGCGGCGUGAGAGGUGAAAUUCUAUGAUCGUCGCCAGACAAACUACAGCGAAAGCAUUUGCCAAGAAUGUUUUCAUUGAUCAGGAGCGAAAGUCAGAGUUUCGAAGACGAUCAGAUACCGUCCUAGUUCUGACCAUAAACGAUGCCAACUGACG